AGUGAACGCUGGCGGUAGGCCUAACACAUGCAAGUCGAACGGCAGCACAGGAGAGCUUGCUCUCUGGGUGGCGAGUGGCGGACGGGUGAGGAAUACAUCGGAAUCUACUCUGUCGUGGGGGAUAACGUAGGGAAACUUACGCCAAUACCGCAUACGACCUACGGGUGAAAGCAGGGGACCUUCGGGCCUUGCGCGAUUGAAUGAGCCGAUGUCGGAUUAGCUAGUUGGCGGGGUAAAGGCCCACCAAGGCGACGAUCCGCAGCUGGUCUGAGAGGAUGAUCAGCCACACCGGAACUGAGACACGGUCCAGACUCCUACGGGAGGCAGCAGUGGGGAAUAUUGGACAAUGGGCGCAAGCCUGAUCCAGCCAUACCGCGUGGGUGAAGAAGGCCUUCGGGUUGUAAAGCCCUUUUGUUGGGAAAGAAAUCCAGCUGGCUAAUACCCGGUUAGGAUGACGGUACCCAAAGAAUAAGCACCGGCUAACUUCGUGCCAGCAGCCGCCGCAG
RNAcentral lists this ribosomal RNA (506 nucleotides) under uncultured bacterium. RNAcentral's name for it is "partial 16S ribosomal RNA". It matches the Rfam family "Bacterial small subunit ribosomal RNA", at positions 29 to 523 of the family's 1533-position model. The record is from RNAcentral.